ACAAGACAAACUGCUGAGAUGGCUCUUGUUAAUUCAUUCAGUUGGUGUUUUAAUAAUACGAACAAAUUAAGUGUAACGAGGACCCGUUGGAGAGCACAAAGCUUUUGGAAGCUGAGGUGAGAGUUGCCAUGGCUUUUGUGAUUUCACAGCGGUACAGAGAAUUACAGUGGAAAUGUCAGUUGGAAAAUUAACAUAAAUGGCAUCAAGGAGCCUAUAACAAUCUGUUAGUGAAAUCUGUGGGACUGAGUUUGGCGUUUGCAGUGUGAAUAAAACAUGAGAGAACAAGAGCUCCAUUUCCAUGCAGUGAGCUUUGAUGACAACAAUGUACAUUGUCACAUACACCUGACAUUCUGGAAGCUGUGGUGAGCCUGCUGAGGUUGAGAAGCAAGGAGCAACCUGCCCAGGCUUGCACUCAUGCUCUGGAAGCAAAGUGCAAAAUGCCUCACCUAUUGCUCUGCUAGUACAAGGGACAGGAAAUGGCCUUGUGAACAAGGGAAAAAAAUGCAGCAAUUCUGUCUUCAUACUUCGCUACUAAGAAAUCCCAGCAGACGAAGAAGAUGGCUAGAACAGUAAUGAUGAAGAGUGGCAAGGCUCUCUGAAAAUUCAAGCUGCAGGCUGCAAUAACCGCUGCCAAGUAAACUGCCACAGAAACAAAAGUAUACAUGUCAUUUAUGUCUUGUCUCUUUAUAGAGAGAAUCAAAUAUUAAAUUCAGUUAUAAGGGCAUGGGUUAAA
Molecule: long non-coding RNA, 733 nt
Organism: Gallus gallus (chicken)
Lineage: Eukaryota; Metazoa; Chordata; Aves; Galliformes; Phasianidae
Exons: 2
Source: RefSeq, a predicted model, not a curated record